This 541-nucleotide small RNA is filed under the name Oryza sativa Japonica Group (Japanese rice). Its description in RNAcentral is "misc RNA Os02g0452700". Lineage: Eukaryota; Viridiplantae; Streptophyta; Magnoliopsida; Poales; Poaceae. The record is from RNAcentral.
CUCUUGUGUGAUUCUUCUGGUAAUCGCCGUGACGAUCUGUGUUCUUGAUUUUGCUUGCUAAUUUUGAGGAUUCUCGGCGUGGGAGCAGAGGAAUUGGUGGCGGGAGAGGGAAAUCGGUGCGGCGGGAGUGGGUUUUGGGAGGGCAAAUCGGGGAUUUCGCGCUACGGUUUCGACGCGAGGGCGAGGCUACGCCGCCCACAGCGCGCGCGACCCGGGUCUUCUCCUCGCUGCGCGCCCUGGAUUUCGCGAGGUUUUGCGUCGCUCACCUAGGGGACGAGGAACCUAGUUUAGGUGCGGGUCCAAGUGACACGGCGGCAAAAAUCCAACGUGGCGCGACGAGGUCCCGGUCCAGCUCACCGCACUGUGAGAGACCUGAGAGCGAGUGGCGUCGGCUUCACUCAACUAUAACCAAUGACCGGUGGGUACCAAGUGGGCCCCACAUGUCACAUAGAUACGAAUAAAGGUUGCAGAGCAACCGCACCGCCUGCCCCUUUUCUUAGCAUGGAAGUCGUACAGGUCAAGUCCAACGAAGCACAGCGUC